CCUACGGGAGGCAGCAGUAGGGAAUAUUGCUCAAUGGGGGAAACCCUGAAGCAGCAACGCCGCGUGGAUGAUGAAGGUUUUCGGAUUGUAAACUCCUUUUGUUAGAGAAGAUAAUGACGGUAUCUAACGAAUAAGCACCGGCUAACUCCGUGCCAGCAGCCGCGGUAAUACGGAGGGUGCAAGCGUUACUCGGAAUUACUGGGCGUAAAGAGCGCGUAGGCGGGAUAGCAAGUCAGAUGUGAAAUCCUAUGGCUUAACCAUAGAACUGCAUUUGAAACUGUUAUUCUAGAGUAUGGGAGAGGUAGGUGGAAUUCUUGGUGUAGGGGUAAAAUGCGUAGAGAUCAAGAGGAAUACUCAUUGCGAAGGCGACCUGCUAGAACAUAACUGACGCUGAUGCGCGAAAGCGUGGGGAGCAAACAGGAUUAGAUACCCUUGUAGUC
RNAcentral lists this ribosomal RNA (440 nucleotides) under uncultured bacterium. Its description in RNAcentral is "partial 16S ribosomal RNA". It matches the Rfam family "Bacterial small subunit ribosomal RNA", at positions 338 to 795 of the family's 1533-position model. The record is from RNAcentral.